CCGACGAUUUUUUAACCAUUUCAUUGCAGAAACGGAGAACGGAUCCAGCUCAUUACUUCAUUUCUAGUACUUCACCGAUUGAGUUUUAUUAUUUUGAAAUUUGAAAAAAAAAAUAUUUUUCCGUGCAGAAAAGCUGAAAAACAUUUCCGACAAAAUGCGACGAACAUUUUAAUUCAGUGCACUAGCGAGCGAUAAACGUCAAAGCAAACAAAAACAUACAAGCGAAUGUUUAUUUACGUUUGAACCUUCCUUCGCGAAUUCGGUGCCGUUGCCGUGACUUGUUCCGUUUGUUUUAAUAGUUAUUUUUCUGGGUUUUCGGUACGUUUUUCACCGGUUUUUGCGAAGAGUGCUCACGGUUAUCAGUGAAAGACUAAUAUCGUGCCUACAUAUUUAAGGUGUUUGAUUACAUUCCACUUUUAACACAUUAGUGCUUUUGUGUGCUUUCGCUCUUUUGCUCUCCGCGUAUACAAAACACCUGUUGAAUAUCAUCAUCAAGGGCGAAUAAAACACGAGCAGAUAACGAAACUUUUGUUAUUAAAACAGAUCCGCAUCAACGUCAACGUAGUUUGAUACUGUGAGGUUAGUAUACUCCGUGUAUGUCGUCAGCUGUAC
Long non-coding RNA from Aedes albopictus (Asian tiger mosquito), 612 nucleotides. RefSeq lists it as uncharacterized. The transcript has 3 exons. NCBI's taxonomy places the organism in Eukaryota, Metazoa, Arthropoda, Insecta, Diptera, Culicidae. The record is from RefSeq and is a predicted model, not a curated record.